AAGUUUUCAAAGGAUGGGAUGUCGGAAUAAAUGGAACGCGAGUUGGAGAUAAGAGGAGGCUAACCAUCCCUCCAUCCAUGGGGUAUGGAAGCACUGGAAUUGGAAAAAUACCAGGGAAUGCUUGGCUGGUAUUUGAUGUUGAGUUGGUGAAUGUUCAAUGAAGCGACUCUUCUUGCAUUAACCUUGCAUUUAUCAAUGUUUGACAGAGUCAUUGUUGAAACCUGAUUAGUGAAAUGAGGUUUCUUUUUUGGUAAUGUUCUGUGGAGCCAAAGGCUUAUGCAUAUUUGUCAUCUGCAAAAUGGAACUCUGGUUUUGAGACAUGGAUAUGAUUAUGGUGAAGCCUGGUUGGAGGAAAAUUUUUGCCUGUAUUCUUUUGUAGCAUCUGAACCUGCUACUUCCUAAUCUUAUGGUUCAACGGCGUUUAUUCGUU
Molecule: long non-coding RNA, 430 nt
Organism: Nymphaea colorata (pocket water lily)
Lineage: Eukaryota; Viridiplantae; Streptophyta; Magnoliopsida; Nymphaeales; Nymphaeaceae
Exons: 3
Source: RefSeq, a predicted model, not a curated record